GGAGAAUAUAUUUGGAGCCGCUAACUCCAUAAUAACGCCACUUGGAGGCGAUUCUCCU
RNAcentral lists this transfer RNA (58 nucleotides) under Pseudocellus gertschi. RNAcentral describes it as "tRNA-Ser". The record is from RNAcentral. Lineage: Eukaryota; Metazoa; Arthropoda; Arachnida; Ricinulei; Ricinoididae.